AUACGAGGGGUCCAAGCGUUGUUCGGAAUUACUGGGCGUAAAGCGGGUGUAGGUGGCUUGUUAAGUCAGAUGUGAAAGCCCAGGGCUCAACCCUGGAAGUGCAUCUGAAACUGGCAAGCUUGAGUACGGGAGAGGGAAGUAGAAUUCGAGGUGUAGUGGUGAAAUACGUAGAUAUCUCGAGGAACACCGGUUGCGAAGGCGGCUUCCUGGCCCAGUACUGACACUCAGACCCGAAAGCGUGGGUAGCAAACAGGAUUAGAAACCCUAGUAGUCC
RNAcentral lists this ribosomal RNA (274 nucleotides) under uncultured bacterium. Its description in RNAcentral is "partial 16S ribosomal RNA". It matches the Rfam family "Bacterial small subunit ribosomal RNA", at positions 523 to 796 of the family's 1533-position model. The record is from RNAcentral.